Molecule: long non-coding RNA, 282 nt
Filed under: Populus tremula
Lineage: Eukaryota; Viridiplantae; Streptophyta; Magnoliopsida; Malpighiales; Salicaceae
Description: long non-coding RNA (PTRE_LNC000537)
Source: RNAcentral
GGCAGAAAACUUGCCCCCCUCUGUACAGUUUCUGUUCUUGCGCCUUGUUAUGUUCCCAGUGUUACUUCCUCUCUGGAAGCAGAGAAACGAAGACGUGAUGGAGGACUGGUGGGCUAGCUGCUUUCUUCCUCCGCUGCUCGUGGUCUCUCUCCGUGGCCUCCUCUGUUUCUUUGAGAAGAAACAGAGGAACGAAAGUUUUUUUUCUAUUCUUCCCCCCCGGUUCUAUGUUUCUCCAGGGGCUUUUCGGUUAUGCCCCCUUUCUUCUCCCCCCCUGCGCUCUCU